RNAcentral lists this ribosomal RNA (253 nucleotides) under uncultured Gemmatimonas sp. RNAcentral's name for it is "partial 16S ribosomal RNA". It matches the Rfam family "Bacterial small subunit ribosomal RNA", at positions 524 to 776 of the family's 1533-position model. The record is from RNAcentral. Lineage: Bacteria; Pseudomonadati; Gemmatimonadota; Gemmatimonadia; Gemmatimonadales; Gemmatimonadaceae.
UACAGAGGGUGCGAGCGUUGUCCGGAAUCACUGGGCGUAAAGGGUGCGUAGGUGGCUUGGUAAGCGUGUGGUGAAAGUCCGGGGCUCAACCCCGGAUCUGCCGUGCGAACUGCCGAGCUCGAGCAAUGUAGAGGCAGGUGGAAUUUCGGGUGUAGCGGUGGAAUGCGUAGAGAUCCGAAAGAACACCAGUGGCGAAGGCGGCCUGCUGGGCAUUAGCUGACACUGAGGCACGACAGCGUGGGGAGCAAACAGG